This 330-nucleotide ribosomal RNA is filed under the name uncultured bacterium. RNAcentral's name for it is "bacterial SSU rRNA". It matches the Rfam family "Bacterial small subunit ribosomal RNA", at positions 568 to 898 of the family's 1533-position model. The record is from RNAcentral.
UGUGUAGGCGGUUUUCUAAGUCUGGUGUGAAAUCUCCCGGCUCAACUGGGAGGGUGCGCCGAAAACUGGAAGGCUAGAGUGCGGGAUGGGAGAGUGGAAUUCCUGGUGUAGCGGUGAAAUGCGUAGAUAUCAGGAGGAACACCUGUGGUGUAGACGGCUCUCUGGACCGCAACUGACGCUGAGACACGAAAGCGUGGGUAGCAAACAGGAUUAGAUACCCUGGUAGUCCACGCCCUAAACGAUGCAUAUUUGGUGUGGGCCAUUCAUUUGGUCCGUGCCGGAGCUAACGCGUUAAAUAUGCCGCCUGGGGAGUACGGUCGCAAGGCUGAA